GGGCCCGCACAAGCGGUGGAGCAUGUGGUUUAAUUCGAUGCAACGCGAAGAACCUUACCAGGGUUUGACAUCCUGCGAAUCUCUUGGAAACAGGAGAGUGCCUUCGGGAACGCAGUGACAGGUGGUGCAUGGCUGUCGUCAGCUCGUGUCGUGAGAUGUUGGGUUAAGUCCCGCAACGAGCGCAACCCACGUCUUUAGUUGCCAGCAUUUAGUUGGGCACUCUAGAGAGACUGCCGGUGAUAAGCGGGAGGAAGGUGUGGAUGACGUCAAGUCCUCAUGGCCCUUACGGGUUGGGCUACACACGUGCUACAAUGGCAGUGACAAUGGGUUAAUCUCACAAAGCUUGUCGUAGUCCGGAUUGGAGUCUGCAACUCGACUCCAUGAAGUCGGAAUCGCUAGUAAUCG
Molecule: ribosomal RNA, 405 nt
Filed under: uncultured bacterium
Lineage: Bacteria
Description: bacterial SSU rRNA
Rfam family: Bacterial small subunit ribosomal RNA
Source: RNAcentral